GUUGUAUGGUUAAGUAAUUAAGCGUAGACGGUGGAUGCCUUGGCAGUCAGAGGCGAUGAAGGACGUACUAACCUGCGAAAAGCGAUGGUGAGCUGGUAAGAAGCAUUUGAGCCAUCGAUGUCCGAAUGGGGAAACCCACCUGCAUAAGCAGGUAUCUUAGCGUGAAUACAUAGCGUUAAGAGGCGAACUCGGGGAACUGAAACAUCUAAGUACCNAUUAAGCGUAGACGGUGGAUGCCUUGGCAGUCAGAGGCGAUGAAGGACGUACUAACCUGCGAAAAGCGAUGGUGAGCUGGUAAGAAGCAUUUGAGCCAUCGAUGUCCGAAUGGGGAAACCCACCUGCAUAAGCAGGUAUCUUAGCGUGAAUACAUAGCGUUAAGAGGCGAACUCGGGGAACUGAAACAUCUAAGUACCCGAAGGAAAAGAAAUCAAUUGAGAUUCCGGCAGUAGCGGCGAGCGACCCCGGAUUAGCCCUUAAGCAGACUUGGCGUUAGGUGAACAGGUUGGAAAACCUGGCAAUAAAGGGUGAUAGCCCCGUAACCGACGGCGCCAUAUUUGUGAAAACGAGUAGGACGGGACACGUGAUAUCUUGUCUGAAUAUGGGGGGACCAUCCUCCAAGGCUAAAUACUCCUGACUGACCGAUAGUGAACCAGUACCGUGAGGGAAAGGCGAAAAGAACCCCUGUGAGGGGAGUGAAAUAGAACCUGAAACCGUCUACGUACAAGCAGUG
RNAcentral lists this ribosomal RNA (730 nucleotides) under Salinivibrio sp. ML323. Its description in RNAcentral is "bacterial LSU rRNA". The stretch from base 207 to 730 matches the Rfam family "Bacterial large subunit ribosomal RNA", at positions 1 to 575 of the family's 2925-position model. Lineage: Bacteria; Pseudomonadati; Pseudomonadota; Gammaproteobacteria; Vibrionales; Vibrionaceae. The record is from RNAcentral.